UGUCAAACCCAUUAUUUUUCAGGUAUAAACUUGUUAGCAGAUGUUCCAAAGAUCCAGUCUGCUUCCACCCUCAUGAUAUGAUGGGGUGUGGUGCUUCAGAACUUGGAUACUCUCUACCUGGGAAGAGUGAAUCAGCCUUAAUUAGGCCUGAUUGUGGGCAGAGGAGAAGGGGGAUAAACAACCCUUGGACCUGUGGUAUGCCUCACCUGCGUCUUCCAAAUCUAGCAAGAGGGAGAAGUUGGCCUUACUUCAUCUGUCCUUGACCUAAAAAAAGGGGCUUGGGGACAAGACAUUGGCAUACCAGGAGGAACAAAAAUGGUUUGAGAGGCAAGAGACGCAUGUGAGUAUAAUUAGUUGCUGAGGCAAGGUGCAGGCAAAUGUAAGGCUGGCAAAAGGGAUACCUAAUGAGAAGUUUGUGGAAUAGCCAAGAACUCUUCUGCACUGCUAUGUAGCCAGAGAGUACAGCUGCAGCAGGAAGCAAAAUUACUGUACUCUAUAAAAUGGCAGCCCUGUAACUGCUGUGUGUAUUACAGAAGUGCAGGAAGAGUUCAAAAAUCAAAAGAUGGUAGAAGAAAACUAAAAUGCAUUUUUUUUAAGAAAGUUUAAUGAUUUUUAUAUAUUUGACUAGCGUAUUCCAAGAGAAAGACUUGUGCACAUGCUUAAUGUUAAGUAAGAACAUCUUUCAAUGUUUUAAUGAAUCUGACCCCAAAUGUAAUUUUUACAUACAGUCUAUUUGUUCACUGAUGAUGAGAAUUGCAUUUCACUUUGGUUAAGGUAGAAAAAAUAUCUGUCUAUUUAGGUAACAUCAUACUGCUUCUUUUACCUUUAAAGUUAUCAGUCAGUUAUGUUUUUGUUUGAGAUAGGUAUGCUUCAUAGUUACAGUGGUAUUUUCAGCUGUAGACAAAUGAAGAUAGAAACAGAUAGGACUUAAAAAAAAAAAAACUCGAAAAAAACAGCUACUAAUAUUUGUCUCUUGAUCUUUGAAAGUCCAGUUAUCUCUUGUUAAAAAUGCCUUUUAGAAGCAGGAUACUCAGAACCUUUCUUGAAAAUAAGUUAUAUACAUUUUCUGAAAUUAGCACUCUAAAACAAUGCUACGUAAAAUUUCUAGGCAGUUAGAUGAAUGUUGGCUGUUUUGUCCAAACACACUGAAAUUCAUACAAGCUGCUGGAAUUUAUAAAAUCUGUCAGGCCAAUAGAAAAACCCUGUUUAUCUCAUCCAUUGGAGCAAAACUAAGAUCACUUGAUAAAACAAACAUUGUGUUUCUAGUCUAACCUGAUCUUAUACAUUUUUGAGGUCUAGCUUUUCCCAAUUAGUUCUUCAUUAUGAAAAGUAAAUAAAGUAUCUUUUUGUGAGAGAACA
This 1359-nucleotide long non-coding RNA is filed under the name Apteryx rowi (Okarito brown kiwi). RNAcentral describes it as "lncRNA (ENSARWG00000000611.1)". Lineage: Eukaryota; Metazoa; Chordata; Aves; Apterygiformes; Apterygidae. The record is from RNAcentral.